CCUUCUCCACUCCGGAUCUUCCCUGUUCCCAUCAUCGCAGAUCUGAGCUGCAGUCGGAUUGUAUCUGUAGUUCUGGAAUAGGACCAGAGGCAGCGUGAGGAGGAAGCUCUCACAGCUCUCUUGGAUUGUGCUGCACUUUCUAUCCGACCUACAGAGGGAGCCCUUCCAGUGGUGUCAGUGACAACAUACUGUGUGGCAACUAACUUAUUUUUAUAGGGACUGUCAGUUUGUAGCUGAACACAUGGCGAGAUUCAGACAACCCCUGUUCAUGGAACAACCAUUACCUCGGUCGCGACUGACAAAGCUCAAAUUAAGUCAAAUGGAGAAUUCCGUCUGGACGCGGUACUUCCAUGAGCCAAGUACUUUCAGGUCCAUGGUGGUGCAGCUUGGUCAGAGUCUUCUGCAGAUGGGGGCUUCUUUGGUGGGCCUCCUGGUGGCAUGUAGUGACAUAUUAUUUCUUCUCGCCCAUAUUCUUAAGGUCUUGUAUGAUAUGGUAGAGGUGGUCCUGAGCUUUGUUCUGUCAGCUUGUAAUAUAAUAUGGAUUCUCGUUGUACACUCUCCAGUUAUGACAUACAGAAUUUGGGAAUAUCUUUUUCGUUACCCAGGCCUUGCUUACACUGCAUUUGGCAUGUGCUUUUCUGUCCUGCAGGCAAUAUUUAAAGCAGUCUUCACGAUAAUAGCUUACAUUUGUAUAAUGUUUUUGAUUAUUAUAUUUCUUUCUGUUAUACGAUACAAUAAGUCACACAUGACAGAUCCGGAUUUCCACACAUCUUCAGGCUUCAGGCUAAAGGCUCAUUAACCUGUUCCUGCCAUGGUGGCUGUCAUUAUUUGCAUUCAUAUUAUUCAUUUUCGUGAACUCAACAGAGCCAUAUUAGCCCCAUUUUGGCCUUGAGGACACAGUUUUCAUUUUUGCGUUUUUUCCUCCUCUCCUUGAAAGAGAGACAUACAGUAACUCCUUUAUUUUUCUAGCUACAAACCCAUAUGAAGUUUUUUUUUCAUGACCAAUUGUACUUUGUAAUGACAUCUCUCAUUUUACCAAAUCUGCAAAACUACAAAAUUACUGUGUGGAUGGAAAUUUAUAAGAAAACUGCAAUUUUGGAGCUUUUGGACGUUUUUUUUUUUUUUUUUUUACACAGUGCACUUUAUGGUAAAAAUUAUAAAUAAUUUUUAUUCUGUAGGUCAAUGCUAUUAAAACGAAAAAAAAUUGCGCUGUGAACUGUAGUUUUUAUCGGUUCCAUAUUUGGAUGUGACUUUUUGAACGCUUUGUAUACAUUUUUUUUUUAUAUAUGAUGUGAUUAAAAAUCAGUAUUUUUGGCAUUUGGUAUUUUUUUGUUGCCGUUUACCAUUGGCGAUCAUAAACAUUUUAUUUUAAUAGUUUGGACAUUUACGUAUGUGGCAAUAUCAAAUAUUUUAGUGGACUUUUAUAUGCAAUCAUUAGAUUGCAUUCACUGUAUAAUGUUAUCCUAUGGCAUAGCAUUCCACUGUGUGAUUGGCGAUCCACUGAUACAGCCUAGCUUAACCAGGCUGCAUCAGUGAGUUGGUAGUCAUCAGUAGGAGGCAGGUAAGGGGAUCCUCCUUCAUUUUAGCUUAUCGUUCCCCCCGUGAUCACGUUAAGCUUCACUAAGCUAACCAGCAACUCACUGUGAUUGGCAUUGAUCACAGCGUCUAAAGGGUUAAUGACGGGCAAUAGCAAUGAGUUUCUGUAGCUGACACUCACUGCUCUUAAAGGGGUUCUCCACUGCCCCAGCGUUUGGAACAUUUUGUUUCACAUGCAGGGUGCAGGCUGCCGGGGUUAUUACGUC
Hyla sarda is the source of this 1802-nucleotide long non-coding RNA. RefSeq lists it as uncharacterized. The record is from RefSeq and is a predicted model, not a curated record. The transcript has 3 exons. Lineage: Eukaryota; Metazoa; Chordata; Amphibia; Anura; Hylidae.